GAUUGCUCUAUUGAGAGAGAGUGUCUUCUGGUGACACAACACUUGCAUCUGCAUCUGAGGCUUCUUACUCCGUGACUGUGUCUCGAGAUGACCACAAUCAAAUACUUAAAUGUAUCCAAUAGAUUGUGGCAUCCACCACUGCGGACAUCAUAGCCACUUUAGCACAUACAGGACCACCAUACCAAGAGAACGAUUGGUGGAAGGCAUGAGCAGGCUGGACUCUACUACCUGGACUGCACUAAACCGUCUACCAUUGUUGCUACAACUAUUGUUGCCUUUCUCCUCAUCAAAUUGCACGUUUAGCUAGGACAUCUUAUCAUUAUCAAAGCUUCAGCAUAUGGUUCCAAGUUGCAAAUCCAUUGCUGACCUUGAGUGUGAAGCAAGUGAACUCGGGAAGCAUUAUUGGUCAUAUUUUCUUAUUUGUAGUGUUUAGAAGUCCAUCUUUAUUUUCUUUGUACAUUCUGAUAUUUAGGGUCCUUUCAACAAUUAAUUAGAUUUUCUUAUUUUGUCA
Molecule: long non-coding RNA, 511 nt
Organism: Macadamia integrifolia
Lineage: Eukaryota; Viridiplantae; Streptophyta; Magnoliopsida; Proteales; Proteaceae
Exons: 2
Source: RefSeq, a predicted model, not a curated record